RNAcentral lists this ribosomal RNA (301 nucleotides) under uncultured bacterium. RNAcentral describes it as "partial 16S ribosomal RNA". It matches the Rfam family "Bacterial small subunit ribosomal RNA", at positions 509 to 807 of the family's 1533-position model. The record is from RNAcentral.
CAGUCGCCGCGGGAAUACGUAGGGUGCAAGCGUUAAUCGGAAUUACUGGGCGUAAAGCGUGCGCAGGCGGUUUGUUAAGACAGAUGUGAAAUCCACGGGCUCAACCUGGGAACUGCAUUUGUGACUGGCAAGCUAGAGUCUGGCAGAAGGGGGUGGAAUUCCGCGUGUAGCAGUGAAAUGCGUAGAUAUGCGGAGGAACACCGAUGGCGAAGGCAGCCCCCUGGGCCAACACUGACGCUCAUGCACGAAAGCGUGGGGAGCAAACAGGAUUAGAUACCCCGGUAGUCCCUGUCUCUUAUAC